GAUGAACGCUGGCGGCGUGCCUAAUACAUGCAAGUCGAGCGAACAGACGAGGAGCUUGCUCCUCUGACGUUAGCGGCGGACGGGUGAGUAACACGUGGAUAACCUACCUAUAAGACUGGGAUAACUUCGGGAAACCGGAGCUAAUACCGGAUAAUAUAUUGAACCGCAUGGUUCAAUAGUGAAAGACGGUUUUGCUGUCACUUAUAGAUGGAUCCGCGCCGCAUUAGCUAGUUGGUAAGGUAACGGCUUACCAAGGCAACGAUGCGUAGCCGACCUGAGAGGGUGAUCGGCCACACUGGAACUGAGACACGGUCCAGACUCCUACGGGAGGCAGCAGUAGGGAACCGUCCGCAAUGGGCGAAAGCCUGACGGAGCAACGCCGAGUGAGUGAUGAAGGUCUUCGGAUCGUAAAACUCUGUUAUUAGGGAAGAACAACUGUGUAAGUAACUAUGCACGUCUUGACGGUAACUAAUCAGAAAGCAACGGCUAACUACGUG
This 497-nucleotide ribosomal RNA is filed under the name uncultured bacterium. RNAcentral's name for it is "partial 16S ribosomal RNA". It matches the Rfam family "Bacterial small subunit ribosomal RNA", at positions 28 to 507 of the family's 1533-position model. The record is from RNAcentral.